This 843-nucleotide ribosomal RNA is filed under the name uncultured Gammaproteobacteria bacterium. Its description in RNAcentral is "bacterial SSU rRNA". It matches the Rfam family "Bacterial small subunit ribosomal RNA", at positions 56 to 934 of the family's 1533-position model. Lineage: Bacteria; Pseudomonadati; Pseudomonadota; Gammaproteobacteria. The record is from RNAcentral.
UGCAGUCGAACGUGAAAGCACUUCGGUGUGAGUAGAGUGGCGGACGGGUGAGUAACGCGUGGGAAUCUACCCAGUAGUGGGGGACAACUACCGGAAACGGUAGCUAAUACCGCAUACGCCCUAUGGGGGAAAGGCUUCGGCCGCUAUUGGAUGAGCCCGCGUCAGAUUAGCUAGUUGGUAGGGUAAAGGCCUACCAAGGCAACGAUCUGUAGCUGGUCUGAGAGGACGAACAGCCACACUGGGACUGAGACACGGCCCAGACUCCUACGGGAGGCAGCAGUGGGGAAUAUUGGACAAUGGGCGAAAGCCUGAUCCAGCAAUGCCGCGUGUGUGAAGAAGGCCUGCGGGUUGUAAAGCACUUUCAGUUGGGAAGAUGAUGACGUUACCAACAGAAGAAGCACCGGCUAAAUCCGUGCCAGCAGCCGCGGUAAUACGGAUGGUGCGAGCGUUAAUCGGAAUUACUGGGCGUAAAGCGCGCGUAGGCGGCUAAGUCAGUCAGAAGUGAAAGCCCCGGGCUCAACCUGGGAAUUGCUUUUGAUACUGCUUAGCUAGAGUUUGGUAGAGGAUAGUGGAAUUCCAGGUGUAGCGGUGAAAUGCGUAGAUAUCUGGAGGAACAUCAGUGGUGAAGGCGACUGUCUGGACCAAAACUGACGCUGAGGUGCGAAAGCGUGGGUAGCAAACAGGAUUAGAUACCCUGGUAGUCCACGCCGUAAACGAUGUCAACUAGCCGUCGGGUCUAUUUACAGACUUGGUGGCGCAGCUAACGCGAUAAGUUGACCGCCUGGGGAGUACGGCCGCAAGGUUAAAACUCAAAGGAAUUGACGGGGGCCCGCACAAGCGGUG